AGUUUUAUGAAAUAAAUUAUAUAAAAUAUUUUCUGCCCAAUGUAAAAAAAUAAAUGGCCGCAGUACUUUGACUGUGCUAAGGUAGCAUAAUCAAUUGGCUUUUAAUUAAAGUCUAGAAUGAAAGGGAGAUUGGAAUUUAACUGUCUUAAAAAUUUUUUAAAAAAAUUAUUAAAAAGGUGAAAAUACCUUAAAAAUAAAUUAAAGACGAGAAGACCCUAUGAAUUUUUAUCUUUUUUUGUUGGGGCGACAAUUUAAAAAAGAGAUCUUAAAUUUUCUUUAAUAAAACGAAAGUGUUAAUUAAAAAAAAAUUACCUUAGGGAUAACAGCAUUAUUAAAAAUUUAGUUUGUGACCUCGAUGUUGGACUAGGAACUAAUAGGCUAACCGUCUUAAUAGAUUUGUUCUGUUCGAACAAUUAAAUCCU
This 422-nucleotide ribosomal RNA is filed under the name Gyraulus sp. 15904. Its description in RNAcentral is "partial large subunit ribosomal RNA". Lineage: Eukaryota; Metazoa; Mollusca; Gastropoda; Planorbidae. The record is from RNAcentral.